This 253-nucleotide ribosomal RNA is filed under the name uncultured bacterium. RNAcentral's name for it is "partial 16S ribosomal RNA". It matches the Rfam family "Bacterial small subunit ribosomal RNA", at positions 524 to 776 of the family's 1533-position model. The record is from RNAcentral.
UACGUAGGGGGCUAGCGUUGUCCGGAAUCAUUGGGCGUAAAGCGCGUGUAGGCGGUUCGGUAAGUCCGCUGUGAAAGUCGGGGGCUCAACCCUCGAAAGCCGGUGGAUACUGUCGGGCUAGAGUACGGAAGAGGCGAGUGGAAUUCCUGGUGUAGCGGUGAAAUGCGCAGAUAUCAGGAAGAACACCCGUGGCUAAGGCGGCUCUCUAGUACGGUACUGACGCUGAGACGCGAAAGCGUGGGGAGCGAACAGG